Molecule: small RNA, 126 nt
Filed under: Salmonella enterica
Lineage: Bacteria; Pseudomonadati; Pseudomonadota; Gammaproteobacteria; Enterobacterales; Enterobacteriaceae
Description: RtT sRNA
Rfam family: RtT RNA
About the family: This family represents a bacterial cis-regulatory element known as RtT RNA. The exact function of RtT is unknown although it is thought that it may be involved in changing the cellular response in relation to amino acid starvation.
Source: RNAcentral
CUAGUCACUGCGAUUUAUAAGAUUCGAACCUGCCGCAGGUCCGGGUCGAACGCAGUGAGACAACGGAGCCGUUUACGGCGACGGCCCGAAGGGCGAGCGAAGCGAGUCAUCCUGCACGACCCACCA